Long non-coding RNA from Myotis lucifugus (little brown bat), 976 nucleotides. RefSeq lists it as uncharacterized. The transcript has 3 exons. The record is from RefSeq and is a predicted model, not a curated record. Lineage: Eukaryota; Metazoa; Chordata; Mammalia; Chiroptera; Vespertilionidae.
CGUGGGUCCCCUGUCAGUCAUUGGCUCCCUGCGGUUUCCUUGGGGACGUGGCGCCGCCGCCGGCGCAGGCCUCCUUCCGGCUGGGCUGGAGACCGUGGGCAUUCGCCCGGGACAGCGCGGAGAGGUGCUGGAGGAGCGGCGGGCCCCUGGACCCGUGAGUGCUGCAGGCUUAGGAGAUGCCUGGGACAAGGAGACCACCUUCUCCGGGCAAAAGGAAAAGGAGGUGACAGGCGUUGGGACCACUGAGGGGAACCCAUGGCUAGGAUCAGUUUUUCCUACCUCUGCCCAGCCUCCUGGUACUUUACUGUGCCCACAGUGAGCCCAUUUCCCCGUCAGCGGGUGGCAUUCCUAGGACUCUUCUUCAUAUCCUGCCUCCUUCUACUUAUGUUAAUCAUGGACUUUCGACAUUGGGGUGCUUCAUUACCACGAGAUAGGCAAUAUGAAAGGUGAGUCAGCUUUAGAUCACUUUCCUCAGCUUUGCAUUGAAGUCAUAAAUAUUUUGAUAAGCUGUUUAACACAUUACUACCUUUGACCCUUUUGGGGAAAACUGUACUUUUGUUAGUAAAAUUGCAUGACACUUAUUGCAUAACAAUCUUGACAAUCUUCAGUUUUGAUUCAGGAAUGAUGAUGCUUGUGUUUUAACUUUGUAAGGCAUCUUUCCUAUUUUUCUGUUUUUGUGGGCUAACUUAUUAGUGCAUAAAUGUUUACGAUUGUUAUGUACUCUUGAUGCAUUGACCCUUUUUAUUAUUAUUGAAUGACUCUCUUUAUCCUUGAUUAUAUUCUUUGCUAUGAAAUCUACUGGUCUGGUAUUAAGCUUUCUUUUGAUUAGUGUUAGUGUGACAGGUGCUUUUCCAUCCUUUUGGUUUUAGCCUGUUUCAGUCUUUAUAUUUCAAGUGGGCUUCUUGUAGCAGCAUUUAGCUGAGUCUUGCUUUUUGUCCUAUCUGACAGUGUCUGCUUUUUAUUUGGGGCGUUUAAG